This 481-nucleotide ribosomal RNA is filed under the name uncultured bacterium. RNAcentral describes it as "bacterial SSU rRNA". It matches the Rfam family "Bacterial small subunit ribosomal RNA", at positions 28 to 505 of the family's 1533-position model. The record is from RNAcentral.
GACGAACGCUGGCGGCGUGCUUAAUACAUGCAAGUCAACUGAACUUGAAGUAGCAAUAUUUCAAGGGAGGUGGCGCACGGGUGAGUAACACGUAGGUAAUCUGCCUUUAGGUCUGACAUAAUUCCGCGAAAGCGGGACUAAUUUCAGAUGAUGCAGCGGCUCGACAUCGAGACAGUUGUUAAAUCUUCGGAGCCUAAAGAUGAGCCUGCGUCUGAUUAGGUAGUUGGCGGAGUAAAAGCCCACCAAGCCUGCGAUCAGUAGCUGGUCUGAGAGGAUGAUCAGCCACACUGGAACUGAGACACGGUCCAGACUCCUACGGGAGGCAGCAGUAAGGAAUAUUGCGCAAUGGAGGCAACUCUGACGCAGCCAUGCCGCGUGCAGGAAGAAGGCGCUACGCGUUGUAAACUGCUUUUAUCCGGGAAGAACCCCAGGACGUGUCCUGGGUUGACGGUACCGGAGGAAUAAGCACCGGCUAACUUCG